CCUGGUGGCUCAGAUGGUAAAGCAUCUGCCUACAAUGCAGGAGAUCUGGGUUCAAUCCCUGGGUCAGGA
This is a non-coding RNA of Bos taurus (domestic cattle), 69 nucleotides long. Lineage: Eukaryota; Metazoa; Chordata; Mammalia; Artiodactyla; Bovidae. The record is from Rfam.